UUGCCAGCCGCCGCGGUAAUACGGAGGGUGCAAGCGUUAUCCGGAUUCAUUGGGUUUAAAGGGUGCGCAGGCGGAUAAUUAAGUUAGUGGUGAAAUCCCGGGGCUCAACCUCGGAACUGCCAUUAAUACUGAUAAUCUGGAAUACGGUUGAAGUGGGCGGAAUGUAGCAUGUAGCGGUGAAAUGCAUAGAGAUGCUACAGAACACCGAUCGCGAAGGCAGCUCACUAAGCCGAUAUUGACGCUCAGGCACGAAAGCGUGGGGAGCGAACAGGAUUAGAUACCCUGGUAGUCCACGCCGUAAACGAUGAUAACUCGUUGUUGGCGACACACAGUCAGCGACUAAGCGAAAGCGAUAAGUUAUCCACCUGGGGAGUACGAUCGCAAGGUUGAAACUCAAAUGAAUUGGCGG
RNAcentral lists this ribosomal RNA (409 nucleotides) under uncultured bacterium. RNAcentral describes it as "bacterial SSU rRNA". It matches the Rfam family "Bacterial small subunit ribosomal RNA", at positions 505 to 916 of the family's 1533-position model. The record is from RNAcentral.